GAUGAACGCUGGCGGCGUGCCUAAUACAUGCAAGUCGAGCGAACAGACGAGGAGCUUGCUCCUCUGACGUUAGCGGCGGACGGGUGAGUAACACGUGGAUAACCUACCUAUAAGACUGGGAUAACUUCGGGAAACCGGAGCUAAUACCGGAUAAUAUAUUGAACAGCAUGGUUCAAUAGUGAAAGACGGUUUUGCUGUCACUUAUAGAUGGAUCCGCGCCGCAUUAGCUAGUUGGUAAGGUAACGGCUUACCAAGGCAACGAUGCGUAGCCGACCUGAGAGGGUGAUCGGCCACACUGGAACUGAGACACGGUCCAGACUCCUACGGGAGGCAGCAGUAGGGAAUCUUCCGCAAUGGGCGAAAGCUUGACGGAGCAACGCCGCGUGAGUGAUGAAGGUCUUCGGAUCGUAAAACUCUGUUAUUAGGGAAGAACAAAUGUGUAAGUAACUAUGCACGUCUUGACGGUACCUAAUCAGAAAGCCACGGCUAACUACGUG
Molecule: ribosomal RNA, 497 nt
Filed under: uncultured bacterium
Lineage: Bacteria
Description: partial 16S ribosomal RNA
Rfam family: Bacterial small subunit ribosomal RNA
Source: RNAcentral